Molecule: ribosomal RNA, 465 nt
Filed under: uncultured bacterium
Lineage: Bacteria
Description: partial 16S ribosomal RNA
Rfam family: Bacterial small subunit ribosomal RNA
Source: RNAcentral
CCUACGGGAGGCUGCAGUAGGGAAUCUUCCACAAUGGGCGCAAGCCUGAUGGAGCAACACCGCGUGAGUGAAGAAGGGUUUCGGCUCGUAAAGCUCUGUUGUUGGAGAAGAACGUGCGUGAGAGUAACUGUUCACGCAGUGACGGUAUCCAACCAGAAAGUCACGGCUAACUACGUGCCAGCAGCCGCGGUAAUACGUAGGUGGCAAGCAUUAUCCGGAUUUAUUGGGCGUAAAGCGAGCGCAGGCGGUUGCUUAGGUCUGAUGUGAAAGCCUUCGGCUUAACCGAAGAAGUGCAUCGGAAACCGGGCGACUUGAGUGCAGAAGAGGACAGUGGAACUCCAUGUGUAGCGGUGGAAUGAGUAGAUAUAUGGAAGAACACCAGUGGCGAAGGCGGCCUGCUGGACCGCGACUGACGUUGAGGCUCGAAAGCGUGGGGAGCGAACAGGAUUAGAUACCCUGGUAGUC